UUUCAAUCUGUUCUUUGAGUAAUUUUCUGAAUGUUGUGGAUUUGUUAUUGUAGGUGAAAGCCUCUCUUGGAAUGAAUGUGUUCAGUGCCAUAACAGCAGGACUAGCUAUUCUUCUGAUGGGUGUACAAUUAGGAAUAUCAUUGGAAUAUCCAAGGUUCGAUGUUCAGAAUUUUAUUUUGCGGUCUGUUGGAAUAAUGCUGGUGUUCACUAUACCUCAGUUCAUCAUCUCCAUCUGUAUAUCAGCACUUGCCUGCAAAGCCACCUGCAACAUCCAUUCUACAGUGGUCAAUGUGGCACUAAACCAGGGAUACUAAGUCAUGGUGAGGAGAUCCUAGCAUCCAAAGGCUACAGAGAAUUAAAGUCUCAUAUUCUUGUUUUAGAUUUUAAAAAUAUCUGUUGUCCAUAUUUUAUAAUUAUAUGUGAAAUGGAUUUUAAUAUGCUUCUGCAUCAGACAUGGCCCAAUGUUUUGUAAUGUAUUGUUUAUGUCAUGUUUAAUAUGGACUAAAGAUUACAUUUGUUAACCAGGAUUCUUAAGUUUCUCCAGAAACUUGUAUUUUAGUUUGUUGU
This 567-nucleotide long non-coding RNA is filed under the name Sinocyclocheilus anshuiensis. RNAcentral's name for it is "lncRNA (ENSSANG00000013998.1)". Lineage: Eukaryota; Metazoa; Chordata; Actinopteri; Cypriniformes; Cyprinidae. The record is from RNAcentral.